UCCAGUGGUGGUCAGGUGUCUUUGUCAUCUCGAUGUCUGUGACAGUGUUACACUGCUGGAAGAUAAAAGUACUGUCCAUUUUAGCUGUCUGUCCUCUGUUCUGCAGGCAGCUGAUACCAGUGGGGGACAGUAUUGUGCUUCUUUGAGAGUGUGCUAAGCAGUCAAUAUCCUGCUCAGUGCUAGAGUAGAAGCUUACACA
This 199-nucleotide small nucleolar RNA is filed under the name Podarcis lilfordi (Lilford's wall lizard). RNAcentral's name for it is "Small nucleolar RNA SNORA74". It matches the Rfam family "Small nucleolar RNA SNORA74". From Rfam's summary of the family: U19 belongs to the H/ACA class of snoRNAs. snoRNAs bind a number of proteins (including dyskerin, Gar1p and Nop10p in the case of the H/ACA class) to form snoRNP complexes. This class are thought to guide the sites of modification of uridines to pseudouridines by forming direct base pairing interactions with substrate RNAs. The record is from Rfam by way of RNAcentral. Lineage: Eukaryota; Metazoa; Chordata; Lepidosauria; Squamata; Lacertidae.